This is a long non-coding RNA of Homo sapiens (human), 1942 nucleotides long. The record is from Ensembl. NCBI's taxonomy places the organism in Eukaryota, Metazoa, Chordata, Mammalia, Primates, Hominidae.
AGCGUGCGCCUCGGCCUGCUAGGGGUACCCCAAGGCAGACAGAAGGCCCAUGAGGGAAAGGUGCAGCAGUCCAUCUGGUGCUUGAGUGUCAACCUAAGGCCUGAUGUCUAUGUUGGACCUUGGGUUCACCUGAGGCCUGAUAUCCACCUGGGGCCUCAAUGUCCAAAUGGGGCCUGAUGCCCAUCUGGGUCCUGGGUGUCCACCUGCAGCAUGGAUGUCCACUGGUACUUUAUGUCCACCAGGGGCCUAAUGUCCACCUAAGACCUGGUGUUCACCUGGGGUCUGAUGUUCAGCUGAAGACAGGAUGUCCACCUGGAGCCGAGGAAUCCACCCAGGGACUGGUGUUGAACUGGGGCCUGAUGACCACCCGGGGACAAGGUACACAUCAGGCUUGUUGUCCACCUGUCACCAGAUGUCCACCUGAGUCCUGAUGUCCAUCUUGAUCCUGUUUGUCCACAUUAGGCCUGAUGUCCAGCUGGGGCCUAGGUACCCACUGGGGGCUUCCUGUUAACCUGGGGACUGGUGUCAUUCUGGGGCCUAAUGACCACCUGGGUUGUAUUAUUCACCUAGGGCCUGGUGUCCACUUGGGGCUUGAGUGUAACCUUGGACCUGGCACCCACAUAGGAUUGGGUAUCAAACUGGCCCCUUGGUGUCCAGUUAAGACAUCAUGUGAACCUGGCGCCUGAGUGUCCACAUGGGUCCAAAUGACUACUGGGGGCCUGAAUGUCAACCUAGAAUCUGAGGUUUACUAGGGGCCUAGGUAUCCACCUGGGGCCCAAUGUCCACCUGAGCCUGGGUGUCAACCUGGGGCCUGAUGUAAACCUCUAGUUCACUAUCCACCUUGGGCUUAAUGUCAACCUGGAGCCCGAUGUCCACCUGAGUACUGAUGUUCACCUUUGACCUGAUGUCCACCUGUGGACUGUUUAUCCACCCAUGGCCUGAUGUUCACCUGGGGCUGAAUGUCCAACUGUGACCUGUUGUGCACCUGGAACCUAGGCAUCCACCUGCAGCCUGAUGUUCAGCUGGGCUGGGACCUGGAGUUCACCUGAGGCAUGAUGUCCACCUGAAGCUUGAUGUUCACCUGGGGGCUGGGUGUCCACUUGGGGCCCAAUAUCCACCUGGAGACUAGGUACCCACCUGGGAUCUGGUGUUCACUCAAGAUUGGUGUUCAGCUGUGGCCUAAUGACCACCUGGGUCACGGUGUCUACCUUGGACUGGGUGCUCACCUGGAGCCAGUGUUCACUGGGGGCCUAGUGUGCACCUGAGACUGGGGGAUGCACCUGGGGCCUGGUGUCUACCUGGUGCCUAGGUAUCCACUUGGGGCCUAAUGUUCAUCUGGAAUCUGAUAUCCACCUGGGGCCUUGUAAUUACCUGGGUUCUGGGCAUCCACCUAGGGCUUGAGUAUCCUCCUGGGGCCUUGAGUUUUACUAGGGACUCGUGUCUGCCUUGGACCUGGGUGUAUAUCUGUUACCUAAUGUACACCUUGAGAGUGAUGUCAACCUGGGGACAGAUGUCCUCUUGGGGUCUGAGUGUACACCUGGUGUCUGAUGUCUGCCUGGGGACUUGUGUUCACCUUAGACCUGAUAUUCACCUGGGGACUGGGCGUCCACGAGGGGCUGAUGUUCAGCUGGACACUGGAUAUCCACCUGGGGCUUGGGGAUCCAUCCAGAAACUGAUGUCAAACUGGGGCCUGAUGUCUACCUGCGGACUAGGUAUCCAUGUGAGGCUUGAUGUUCAUCCACGGCCAGACGUCCAUCUGAUGCUUGAUGUCCACCUUACUCCUGGGUGUCUACUAGAGACCUCAUGUCCAACUAGAAUUUAGGAACCUACUGGGGGCCUCGUGUAAACCUGGGGACUGGUAUGAAGCUGGGUCCUAAUGAUCCCCUGGGUCAUAUUAUUCACCUAGGGCCUCAUGUCCACUUGGGGCUUCAGUGUCAAACUU